AUAGUCCUACGGGACGCAGCAGUGGGGAAUAUUGCACAAUGGGGGAAACCCUGAUGCAGCGACGCCGCGUGAGUGAAGAAGUAUUUCGGUACGUAAAGCUCUAUCAGCAGGGAAGAAAAUGACGGUACCUGACCAAGAAGCCCCGGCUAACUACGUGCCAGCAGCCGCGGUACUACGUAGGGGGCAAGCGUUAUCCGGAUUUACUGGGUGUAAAGGGAGCGUAGACGUCAGCGCAAGUCUGGGGUGA
RNAcentral lists this ribosomal RNA (247 nucleotides) under uncultured bacterium. RNAcentral's name for it is "partial 16S ribosomal RNA". It matches the Rfam family "Bacterial small subunit ribosomal RNA", at positions 333 to 597 of the family's 1533-position model. The record is from RNAcentral.